Mus musculus (house mouse) is the source of this 6739-nucleotide long non-coding RNA. RefSeq annotates it as predicted gene, 36798. NCBI's taxonomy places the organism in Eukaryota, Metazoa, Chordata, Mammalia, Rodentia, Muridae. The transcript has 4 exons. The record is from RefSeq and is a predicted model, not a curated record.
GGGGCAUUACUUUCUGAGGCUUGACAUUUCUGGUGUCAUCUCUUGGCUCGCUGACAGUUCAGUACAAACACAGCAAGUGUUCUAUGCAGCAGUAAGUACCCUUAUUCAUCUUGAAGGAACUAGUCGCUUUUGUCAGGGUAUUUCAUCACAACAACAACAACAACAACAGCUGCAAUAAUGGGCUGCUGGGAGGGUAAAGUCAUGUGCAAAGGGGCAUGUACAAUCCCUACAGAGAGGAUGGAGGUGCUGGUGUCAAUACAAGAAAGACAUCAUCACUGGAAAAGAACCAGCUCACAGAUGGCUAUGCCGAGCCUCCGGAGACAAUAUGUGCUAAGCUCAGGCAUGGGGAUUGUUAGCAUUAGAGGCAGGCCUCAUGGGUCUGAGUUCCCUGCCCUGUGCUUCUUACUUAUAGUUGCUGGGUAACAAGCUGUAAGAUGCUGAAUGGCCAAACUCCAAGCAGGACGGCCGGUGUUAUCAGAAGAAUUCCUACUUUAAACUGAUGAAGUUCACUACAGCAGCAUAUAUCCAUCUAACCCAGCAGCUCAGCAUUCUACUACGGUACUGGUUAGUUUAUGUCAACUUAAUACAUAUUAGAAACUUCUUGGAAGAGGGAACCUCUAUAGGGGAAUUAUCUUUAUUAGAUUGGUCAUUGGCUAAGUCGCUCUCUCUCUCUCUCUCUCUCUCUCUCUGUCUCUCUCUGCUUUCCUUCCUUCCUCUAUCUCCCUCCUCCCUCCUCCGCCCCUCCCUCCCUCCUCCCCCCCUUUCUUUCUUUCUCUCUUUCUUUCUUUCUUUCUUUCUUCCCUAAUAAUUUGUGUGGGAGGGUCCCCACCUCACUGUGGAUGGUGCUAACUGCUAACCUUGGGUCUAGGCUGUAUAUGAAAGCAAACUGAGCAAGCCAAUGAACACCAUUCCACAAUGGUAUCUGUUUCAGUUCAUGCCUCCAGGGUUUUUGUUGUUGUUGUUGUUGUUGUUUAGUUGUUUGUUUUUGCUUCUUGGUAUUUUAAAAAAAUCAUUAGUAUUAAUUAGUUAGUAUACAAAGUAAAGGCUUCCUUAUGACAUUUUCGGUUUCUCCUUCUCCUUUUCUCCUCCUUCUCCUUCUCCUUCUCCUUCUCCUUCUCCUUCUCCUUCUCCUUCUCCUUCUCCUCCUCUUCCUCCUCCUCCUCCUCCUCCUCCUCCUCCUCCUUCUCCUCCUCCUCCUCCUCCUCCUCCUCCUUUUUUUUUUUUUUUUUUGGACCUGGCUGUUCUGGAACUCACUUUGUAGUCCAUGCUGGCCUUGAACUCAGAAAUCUGCCUGUCUCUGCCUCCUGAGUGCUGGGACUAAAGGCAUGCACCUUCACACCUGGCUCUUAUGACAUUUUCAUGCACAUAUAAUUCUACUUUGCUCUUACUUUAUGUUCCCAAUAUCUUCUUUUAUUUUUCUCUAAUAAUUUAUUUAUUUUAUUCACUUUACAUCCUGACUGACAGCCCACCCUCCCUUCUCUCUUUCCAGUACAACCCUUGCAAAUCCCUCCCCUCAUUGCUUUCUCCCCUUCUCCUCAGAGAACUGGGAGCACCCUUGGGUGCCUCCCCACCCUGGGACAUCUGGUCCCAGCAGGAUUACUGCCUCCAGGUUCCUGUGUUGAGCUCCUGAUCUGUUUUCUCUAGAUGGUGAGCUGUAACCUGUAAGCCAGAUAAACUACUUCCUCCCCAAGUUGGUUUUUAGUCUGCAUCUUAUCAUAGCUACAGGAAAGCCAUCCAGGACUGUUACAUAACCCCACAACAGCUGUCUGUAGGAGGUGACCUUAAGGGUGAGACUUGGACCUCAGAGCAGAAGGGAUUUAAGAAGUUUCCUACUUGCACCUCAUUCCCAGGGUAGGAGUGUAGCACCUGGGGACAUGAACAGUUCACCAUUUUCUCAUUUAAUGAUGUGAGUUGGAGGCUGGGAUCAGAGGCUGGCACUCUGAGGAAGCUCCUACAGUUCGCAUGUGCUUUCCAGCAUUGGGACCCUCACCCUGGGAAGGGACUUCUGCCUUUCUUUGGGACCUUGUCAACCCUUGGGAGAACUGUUAUAGGAGACCAUCUUGUCCUUUUCUCAUGUGUUGCUAUAGAGUUCUUACUUCCGUGCUCCUAAUGCCUGCCCCAUCAAUGUCACUAGGACCAUAUUGCUUGGACUUUUACCCUCCAGCGAGAUAACCACAGUUCUUCACCAGUAGUUGCCUCGUGUGUUUUGUUGUGGCCAUGACCAUCUGACUAAGAGAGGCCCAGUUGCCUAAAUUACUCUCCCUCAAGUCAUUGUCUUCAGCAGAGGACAAAGGGAGUUUGUAGAGAGAGACUUCAACUGGCCAUGCAGCAGUGCAGUGGCACUUAUGGCUGCCUUGUUAUUCCUCUCUCAUUGGCUACAAGUGUCUGCAGGCUUGUCUCUCAGCUCUGGGCUCUGAAAAGCCCCAUUGUGCUGCUUGCUCUUGACUGAGAGGCAGGAGCAGAGUCUAAGGUGACAAGGACAUUAUCACCUAAGUGGCGCAGGGGAUCUUUGCAUAAGUGAUUGCAUUUCAAUGUGCUUCAAAUCUCUUUCUCACUGGCCCAUCUUUCUGAUGAGCUGUUCAUGCUAAAUUCCCCAUCCUAGUUAAGGAGCUCUCUGUGGCACUGCUAAUGAUAAUGCUAAGUGACUUUAAAAUGCCUUUUGAUGUGAAUCCAUUCUGACUAACAAGUGAGAGGCAACCCACCUAUGCUCCAGGCAAAAUUUUAGCCUAGUAAAGAAAACACACACACACACACACACACACACCUUAACCUGGAGGGGGAGGGCCAGGAGCAUUGCACCCAGGCUGCUUCAGAAGCAGUGAGCUUCACACACAUUUGCAAAGUAAGGAACAAAAUACUGAGGUCUCAGUGAAGGUACCACCAGCAUCCCUAACAUCUCUCCUUCAUCAUCCCUCCUCCAUCAUCCCUCCUCCAUCAUCCCCCCUCUAUUAUCCCUCCUUAUACAUGAAUUCAGAAGGCAUAUAAAUUGCUUAAAAAUAUUUACCAUAUUUUAUGUCUUAAACAAAAAAUAGAGGAAGUUUUAUUACUCAGAUCUCAAUAUGAUUGUCCACGUUGGUUUUGAGGAUGGCUUUCCCUGGUAGUCACUGACAGGCUCACACCGAGCUCCUUGUUGCUUACUAGUUCUUAGCCUAUGGGAUAGAACUGUCCACAUGAGCAUGUCCCCUCAUGCUGUCAGUAUGAGCAGAGAUGAGGCAUUUUGUGGUUUGCACAAGCUUCCACCAAGCCAUUUCGGAGUGUUGUAUAUUUCCAUAUCUAAUCAAGUGCAUAAUUAACCCAGAGGGCAUAAUCAUAAAGCCAGGCUAAUUUAGCAUUCCUGAUUGGGGAUGCCCCCCCCACACGGCAGAGUCCCCUCUAGCACCCACAGACUCAGCUGUUUCUCACAUCGGUUUGGGGGUGAGGUUGGAAACAAUGGUAGCACUCCUUUAAUGCGUAUCCCAGAGCAAACCCCACUCUGCUGACGUGAGAAGUAGUGGGUUGGCUACUUGGCUACAGAUAAGAAUCACAAGUUUAGAAGAUGAAUUGGCCUCUACCCAAAGAGACCAACAAAUUCCCACUGAAGAACUGAGAAGACCAUGAAGCAAGGAUGUAAAAAUAUGUGCAGAAAUUACCAAUAUAGACCACACCAUUAUUCAUUUGCACCCCCCCCCCAUGAUGGUGAUGGUUUGAAGGACAAAUGUACCCUAUGGCUCUUGUAUUUGGUUACUUGGUUCCCAUUUGGUGACACUGUUUUGGGAAGUUCUAGACCCUUUAAGGAGUGCAGCCUUGAUGGAGGGACUAUGUCGCUGAGGGAUGGGCUUUCAGAUUUUGUAGCCUUUCCCCAGCUGCUGUUCACUCUUUGCUUCCUCCUCUGGCUGUUUGCUGUCAUGCCUUCCUGGGCAUUAUCUCCCUCUGGAACCGUAGGCCAAAGCAAACCAUCUUCCUUAAUUUGCCUUUUGCCGUAGUGUUUAUUUACUGCUAUAGAAAAGUAACUGAUACCAACCAUAAUAAGAUUCCAAGCAUCGGCCAGCUCAUGCUAUAGUUUACACCAAAGACGUUUAACCAAGUACAGGGUGGGGAGUGACUAUGCCACGCACACAUCAAACUUCACCUUCUAUAAUGGCAUCCUCGAGUUGUUUUAUAGUUUAAGCUGCUGCACAGAUUCUGUGGUGAUGCCUCCUGAGCAGGCUGCUGUUAUCAGCAAGCACAUGGCAGAAGCAGACAUUGGUGCCCCUGCUCACCUGCUGUGCAUGUCGGACAUCCCAGAAGUGAAACCUCAGCAGCUCCUAUCAAACCGGAAGAUGCAGCUCAGCCAUGCUGAACCAGACCUGCAGAUUCGGAGCAAACGGGCAAGUGUGGCUUGAUAUUGCAAGCUUUGGGAUGGUUCCUUUAACAGCCAGAGACAACAGAGAUGGGGAGGGAGUGCUCCGGAGAAAGAAGAGUUGGGCUAAGCCAGUUGGUCAGGUUUAGGCUUUUGUCAUUUACUUUCCAGAAAAAAUAUUUGCUCUGGGUGUGCACAUAUUCCUCACAUGCUCAUGAAUCUAUCUGCUUGAUUCAGAAAUGCCAGCACUGAGCCAUGAGAGCCAAGGCAGGACUAAUCUAUGCAGGCCGCCACUACCACAUAAACAGGAUCCACUCCAUCUUCCUCACAGUGUUGACUUUCAUAUCUGCCCCCUUGGGUUUCAGAGGGAUGCCCUUCAACUGAAUGCAAGGAAGUUCCCGUAAUUACAGAUUUUCCUAUGACGAUUAUCUUAAUAUUCCCAGAUUUUAAGAUAAUAAUGUAUAUCUGAGAGUCUCCAAGGAGGACAUGCAGAUUUCUGAAUUUUAAGUAUCAUCAAGCAUUCAUGUUUAUCCUGAAAAAAAUCUUCACAGUAACACUGACGGCAACUGCCCACUUUCUAAAUUUCUGGGAUGUGAUAUAUAGAACUAUUUUGUUUUGAGAAGACCACUCAGACACACUUCAAGCCAAUAGAACGUCUUUAUUAGCUACAAGAAGACAGGCCAGUUCCAAAGGGAGAACCAGAGAAGGAGGAAGGACUUAACAGGCCUUCCCAGAGUCAGAGCAUGAUAGCUUGAGAAAGCCCUGCAUCCUGUUUCUCAGACACAGCAUGUAGGGGCUGGGCCAUCCAGACUCUAGCAGCCACAGAUCUCCCAGUCUGAGAUCAUGUGUCAGGGGGUAGAGCUGACAGCUCCUCCAAGGGUCCAGGCACUGACCCCUGACACCCGGAGGUUCUGUGCAUGUAGCUUUCUACUUCAAAUCUAGAUGGAGAAAGCCACGCUCCCAUAUGUCAUGCGCUCAGAGUCAGUAGAGAUGAUGGCGCCACUGGGUACUGCCAAGUUACAUCAUGUGCCCUUUGAGGCAGCCAUGAAGUGUUGUGCAGGACAAGGGAGCUGAGCCAUGCAAUUGCUCAACCCUGAGCCUUCACAGUCUGGGAGAUAGGAGGGGCAGCCCCAUAAUCUCUGAUACACUUUUGGGAUCGCUCUGCCGCUGUCUGAAGGACUAAGAGUCCCUGCUGAUCCACAGUAACCCUUACACAACGGCCACGGCGCUCAACCUGGUGCUCUUCUCUGCCAUGGUUUUUAUUUCUAAUCAUGAGAAUAAGCCGAGGAUUUCUCCAAAUUCUGCUUCCCUUUGGACCAAAACAUCCACAUUAAAGACAUUUCCACUCUUGGCUUUAAAUACCCAACAGGAGACACAGUGUCCCCAACACUUACUUAGAAAUGUCUUCAGCCAAAUAUUCCUGCUUCAUCCCUCCUACGUCUACCUUCCGCAGAACCGUGGUACCUAAACACAGCUCACCCAGGCCUGUUGCUCACACAUCUACCUCCCACCAAACUCUAGGACUUAAACACAGCUCGUCCCCAAUGUGGCAAUGACAAGCUGUCAGUUUUCAGGACCUGCCUCUCAUUUCCAUUUAAGAAACCAUCAGAAUAGCUCUAGCUGUUAAGUUUAGAUCAAUAUUCUCUGCAGGGUCAAGAACUGGGCUCUCACUACAGCCACCACAAUCACUCCAAGCAUUCUAGGGCCAUAUAGGUACUCCCUAGCAGUGCCAGAGACUCUCUCACCCUCUACCUACUGAGCUGUAUAGUAAAACUGUCUGUAAAUCACCAGGACUAUGGUAUUUUAUUACAGCAGCCAACACAAAUGAAGACAUAAAACUGGUACUUGAUGCUGCUGUGAGAAAUGCCCAUAAGAACAGACAGCAGGCAUGGACUGAUCACUGUUCUGUAGACUCUGAUGUAAACAUGAUGCAAACAUGAAAGAUGAAGAUGGAUUGGUGUAUGGUACAAGAAAUUGGAAGACCUAAGGAGAAACCACUGUCACUUGCUCUGCCACCAGAGGGCAGUCACUGCAAACACACAGGGUCUAGAGGAGAGAUGGAGAGGAUUGAAUAAGUAGUCUGCAUAGCUUUCGGAACUGGAUCUGGAAGAGAUGGAACUCAGAGAUUCCCUCAGGCCUUCUGAUGAUGUCCUGGGUAAAUUCAGCCUGGCAGCCGACAUGGAAGAAGUGGGCAUGGAUUCCCCAGAGAAUUUCAACCCAGACUGAUUGAUGGAAGGGCCGAGACACAGAAAGUGCUUCUCAGAAGGCAGCUCAAUAUGGCGGCUGGUGUUGCUCCUACAAAUGCACCUCCUUGUAUCCUGAAGCCUUGGAGGCCAUUGUCACAGUUCAGGACAGUGACCCAUCCCUUCCCAAAUCAGCCAGAAUUAAAUGGCCUGAAAUCUUCGAGGCCCCAGGAACAUA